GAUGAAGAACGCAGCGAAAUGCGAUACGUAAUGUGAAUUGCAGAAUUCAGUGAAUCAUCGAGUCUUUGAACGCACAUUGCGCCCCCUGGUAUUCCGGGGGGCAUGCCUGUCCGAGCGUCAUUGCUGCCCUCAAGCACGGCUUGUGUGUUGGGCCUCCGUCCUCCUCCCGGGGGACGGGCCCGAAAGGCAGCGGCGGCACCGCGUCCGGUCCUCGAGCGUAUGGGGCUUCGUCACCCGCUCUUGUAGGCCCGGCCGGCGCUUGCCGACACAUCAAUCUUUUUUCCAGGUUGACCUCGGAUCAGGUAGGGAUACCCGCUGAACUUAAGCAUAUGAAUAAGCGGAGGA
Molecule: unclassified non-coding RNA, 345 nt
Filed under: soil metagenome
Description: partial contains 5.8S ribosomal RNA, internal transcribed spacer 2, and large subunit ribosomal RNA
Rfam family: 5.8S ribosomal RNA (bases 1-120)
Source: RNAcentral